AGGUCUCUUGGCUUUGCCAGGGCCCACCGGAGAAAACUGAGGCCCCGUUUCUAUAAUCCUUAUGGGAGACCAACCUUGUGCCUCCGGGAGAUCCACUCUCCCACCUGGAAACGCACGGGAAGCCAAGCCUCCAAAAAAGCGCUGCCUCCUCGCUCCGCGUUGGGAUUAUCCGGAAGGAACUCCCAACGGAGGUAGUACCACUCUACCCUCCGCACCUCCUCCUGCAUCAGCCGGCCUGAAGUCGCACCCUCCUCCUCCGGAGAAGUAGAGAAAUAAAUUUCUCCCACCGUAAACCAGUCUUUGAGCGAUUGCAGUAUGACUCCAUUUCCCUGGUGCAUUCAUAUAAUAGUUCACCUGGUGAAAAUAAUGAAGAUUAUUUACAAUGCUACCCUGCUUUUUCUGAUGUCCUGCACCUGGAAGUUGUGCUUUUUAAGGUCUGCUGGAAUUUUCUGGAGGUCCACUCCAGACCCUGUUUGCCUGGGUAUCACUAGUGGAGGCUGCAGACCAGCAAAGAUUGCUGCCUGUUCUUUCCUCUGGAACCUUUGUCCCAAAAGGACACCUGCCAGAUGCCAGCCAGAGCUCUUCUGUAUGAGUCUUAUGAACAAGCAUGAUUUCACUUCCUGAAUUUCGAUGAAUUAUAAGACAUGGGCAAGAUCGGGUUGUAAGACCUCUGCGAUUUAAGGCCAUGGCCUGGAUCAUGGUGAACUUACCAAAGCAAAUAAUGCCUGUGAGAUGGUACUGCAGCAGCCAACCAGUGCGCUCUUUUGGUGACAUCCAGUUCUUGUUGUAUAACUUUAUAUUCCUAUAAAUCCAUUAAGGCCCCAAUAAAGUUUGUCUCUAA
RNAcentral lists this long non-coding RNA (841 nucleotides) under Macaca mulatta (Rhesus monkey). RNAcentral describes it as "lncRNA (ENSMMUG00000055825.1)". Lineage: Eukaryota; Metazoa; Chordata; Mammalia; Primates; Cercopithecidae. The record is from RNAcentral.